RNAcentral lists this long non-coding RNA (481 nucleotides) under Brassica napus (rape). RNAcentral's name for it is "long non-coding RNA (BNAP_LNC013460)". The record is from RNAcentral. Lineage: Eukaryota; Viridiplantae; Streptophyta; Magnoliopsida; Brassicales; Brassicaceae.
UCAUAAAGACGUCGUAAAUGAAAACGUGGGCCUCGCUAAUCCCUCGUUACACAACGAGGAAGUUACGAGGAAACAAAACGCGGGUCUCGCUAAUUCCUCGUAAAAAAUAACGCGGGCCUCGCUAGUUCCUCGUAAAGUUACGAGGAAAUUACGAUGAUAACUAAUUUCUUAUAUAAACACGCGAGCUCGCUCUCCCAUUUCCUCUCCACUUCCUCUCUCUUUCGUAGCUAUGGUACGUUCUCUCUCUAUUUCCUCUCUAAUUUGAUUAGUUUAGGGUAGAUUAGGUGGUUAGUGUAAGGAAUUUAGAUAGGUUUACUGAUUUUAUGUUAAUUAGUGUUGAUUAAGUAGUUAAUGUAGGGAAUUUAGCUAGAUUUAUAGAAUUUGUUAUUUAUAGAAUUUGUUAACUACUGUUGAUGUUAAUUUUAAAAAUUAAAUAUUUUUUCCAGACGAUUCGAAAGAACAGACUUACUCCCCAUUACAG